UCUUUUGCCUUCAUUUCGCUUUAUGCAGUCGAGCGGAACGAGUUAACUGACCCUUCGGGUGACGUUAACGGCGUCGAGCGGCGGACGGGUGAGUAAUGCCUGGGAAUAUGCCUUGAUGUGGGGGAUAACCAUUGGAAACGAUGGCUAAUACCGCAUAAUGCCUUCGGGCCAAAGAGGGGGAUCUUCGGACCUCUCGCGUCAAGAUUAGCCCAGGUGGGAUUAGCUAGUUGGUGAGGUAAUGGCUCACCAAGGCGACGAUCCCUAGCUGGUCUGAGAGGAUGAUCAGCCACACUGGAACUGAGACACGGUCCAGACUCCUACGGGAGGCAGCAGUGGGGAAUAUUGCACAAUGGGCGCAAGCCUGAUGCAGCCAUGCCGCGUGUGUGAAGAAGGCCUUCGGGUUGUAAAGCACUUUCAGUCGUGAGGAAGGUGGUGUAGUUAAUAGCUGCAUCAUUUGACGUUAGCGACAGAAGAAGCACCGGCUAACUCCGUGCCAGCAGCCGCGGUAAUACGGAGGGUGCGAGCGUUAAUCGGAAUUACUGGGCGUAAAGCGCAUGCAGGUGGUUGGUUAAGUCAGAUGUGAAAGCCCGGGGCUCAACCUCGGAACUGCAUUUGAAACUGGCUGACUAGAGUACUGUAGAGGGGGGUAGA
RNAcentral lists this ribosomal RNA (651 nucleotides) under Vibrio sp. MR06-53. RNAcentral describes it as "bacterial SSU rRNA". It matches the Rfam family "Bacterial small subunit ribosomal RNA", at positions 29 to 665 of the family's 1533-position model. Lineage: Bacteria; Pseudomonadati; Pseudomonadota; Gammaproteobacteria; Vibrionales; Vibrionaceae. The record is from RNAcentral.